Molecule: transfer RNA, 66 nt
Filed under: Prionotropis hystrix
Lineage: Eukaryota; Metazoa; Arthropoda; Insecta; Orthoptera; Pamphagidae
Description: tRNA-Ala
Rfam family: tRNA
About the family: Transfer RNA (tRNA) molecules are approximately 80 nucleotides in length. Their secondary structure includes four short double-helical elements and three loops (D, anti-codon, and T loops). Further hydrogen bonds mediate the characteristic L-shaped molecular structure. tRNAs have two regions of fundamental functional importance: the anti-codon, which is responsible for specific mRNA codon recognition, and the 3' end, to which the tRNAs corresponding amino acid is attached (by aminoacyl-tRNA synthetases). tRNAs cope with the degeneracy of the genetic code in two manners: having more than one tRNA (with a specific anti-codon) for a particular amino acid; and 'wobble' base-pairing, i.e. permitting non-standard base-pairing at the 3rd anti-codon position.
Source: RNAcentral
AGGGAUGUAGUUAAUUAUAACAUUUGGGUUGCAUUCAAAAAGUAUUGGAUAUACCAAUCUUCCUUG